Molecule: unclassified non-coding RNA, 6887 nt
Filed under: Octopus sinensis (East Asian common octopus)
Lineage: Eukaryota; Metazoa; Mollusca; Cephalopoda; Octopoda; Octopodidae
Description: pR domain zinc finger protein 4-like, transcript variant X4
Source: RNAcentral
CGUGCGUGUGAACCCCGCAUUCUGUCUCUACACGGGGAUUGAAAUGUCGCAGAAAGGGGGACAACAUGGCGGCGCCCAUUACCGUACACAUGCUGAGAGCAGCAGACCGAAGCCUGGAUUGAACCCCAACCUUUCAGUGUCUUCUAAAUCCACACAGAAAGUAUUUCAGGACUGUUUAGCUGCAACAACCGAUAGCCAAUUACCAAACGGAAACACUACUGUAGAUGCUUUCCAAGAUGGCGACAGAGGUACAGAGUCGUAUAGCAUAGAAGCAGUCGGAGAGCAACAACACAACAAUAGAACUGGUCGGUCUCCAUCCGUGUUCUCUCUAUCAAAUUCUGUGCUUCAUAGAGCAACCAAACGACAGAAACGACGGUCUGUUAGCAAUACAUCAGUACAAUCACUGCGAGGCAAUAACAUUCGCAGUAACAGGAUUGUAACAACACAGAAACAGAAGAGAAAGAAGAAGCUCGAACAAGUCAAUAACAAAAGCAAUUUGAUUGAUUCCAAUUGCGAAAGUUCCGACAUCAGCAAUAACUCCAUAAUAGUCAUAGAGCGCUUAAAUUACCUCUCAUCUGAACCUUCAUCCUCUGAUGAUGAUGACGAAGAAGAAGUGGCUGAUGGAGACGACGAGGCAGAACACGAAAUCGAAGAUUUACACAGCUAUGGUGAACACUCUGUGGCUGGAAGUAACGGCGAGUGGCUCAAGUCACGAAUUCGGAACUUGAAUUCUGUAGUGGAUUUUAAUUUGGACCAAUCUCACACCGACGAUCAGGAAGUGGUGGAUUCCUUAGAAGAGUUGGGCUCCACUAGUAAAGCGGCUAAAGACAUUGUUGUUGAUGAAUUUUUCGCCGACGAACAUCUUGCCGUCAGUCCAGAAGAGCCUGGGAGCGUCAUGCCUCCUCUGACAGGUGCCGAACAUGUGCUUGUACCUCCCACAACAGAGUCCAUAGCUUUAUACAACAACAAUAACAAACAUGCUACAGACACGGAAGACAUUGUAACGACUUCGGGAACGAGCCCGGAUAGAUCUCGCACUGCUAAGAUUUCCGUGGCCGUCGGUGAUAUCGAAACCGGUUCUACUUCUCGACUAUCGCAGAUUACUCCUCCACCGGAUUCCUCUCCAACAUCUACCAACACUCCAUCUGCCACAACUACUAAUGUGUUUUUAGUUGAUAAUUCGGAGGAGCCUUGUUCGUCGUCCUUCCCCGGUCUUUCAUCUAGUAGUUAUUCUACAACAACUACUUCAAAUUCUUCAUCAUUAGAAGCAUCUCUGUUGGAAUUCAGACGGGUCGGAACCGACAAAAGCAAUACUCUUAUGACACCUCAAGAACUGGAGAGUAUGCCGGACCAAGGUAUAGAAUUCGAAGAAUCUGUUGGUCCGAAACAGGAAGUCAUUAGUCCAUCUUCGUUGACCACGUGUAGUACCACAUCACCAUCAUCUUCCUUGUCAUUAUCUGAUUCACUGUCAGUCCUAUCAGAUUCUCCACAAUCCCAUCAGAAAUUGUUAGCUAGUUCCUCUUUACUAGAGUCACCGUCGCGAACCACCACCCCAACACCUAACAAUAACAACACCAACAUUAUCACUACCGAUCAUUCUUCAAACCACGAUGUCAAACCUAUAUUUAUCGAUUCCUCCAGUACCAGUACAGGUCUCACGUCGUCUGCCGACACUACCAGCACUACUACUACCACUGCUGGUCUGGAUAGUAGUCUCCUCAAUGCUGGUAACUUCACACUGGCCACUAUCUCAAUAUCAACUGACCGAGCCACCAACUCCACUCAGAUAUUGGUCAACACUAAUCAGGGACAACAGUUAUAUCAUAUAAACACUGCAGACCUCACCCAGCCUCUAUCGCUGCCCGUCACUCAGGCUCCACCGACGACUCCCUCAUCCUCGGCUACGACUGCCACCAGAACCACGUCGGCUUCGGCUCCGUUGUCAACCUCCUCACAAACAAACGGUCCUUCGGCACAAACAGGUUAUCUAUUGUUACCAGUUAACCCAGCUGAGAAUGGAAACAGUUUCUUAAUGACAGUACCAAUGACCAAUGGAAAUGUCAAACAGCAGCCCAGUAAAGUUGAAUGGUCAAGUGUUGUGAAAGAAGAAAGUGAUGAUGAUACUGGCAGUAAAUCUGACUCUCCAUCAGAGAACACUCCUGUAAAGAAGCUAUGGUCAUGCCAACAAGCCGGAUGUGAACAGGUUUUCAAGAAGUUAUCAAAAUUAAAGAUACAUUUGAUGAGACAUACUGGCGAACGACCAUUCCGGUGUAACCAGCCUGGCUGUGACUGGGCUUUCACUACAGCAUACAAACUGAAGAGACAUGUUGAGUCACAUCAGGGAAGAAAAGACUACAUUUGUGACAUUGAUGGUUGUGGUAGAAAGUUUACAACAAUCUACAACUUAAAUUCUCACAAGAAACUCCAUGAACGUCCAUGUAAUGAAGUUUGCCCCAAACCCAACUGUAACCAGAGGUAUCCAACAAAACGGCAACUUGAUUUGCAUUUAAAGAAUCAUGCUGAUGUGGAGAAAACUUAUAAAUGUCCUGUUGAUGGCUGUAACAAAGUUUUCCUUUCUCCUAACUGCAUGGGCUCUCAUGCCCGUGUUCAUCAACAGGACCGAGAUGACCUGGUCUGCAAGUAUGAUGGCUGUGGUAAAGUUUUCAAUAAAGUCUGUCGUCUUAAACAACACAUGCGCUGUCACACUGGCGAGAAACCAUAUCAGUGUCGUGUUGAUGGUUGUUCUUGGGCCUUUGCAACGGCCAGUAAAUUAAAACGCCACAUGAGCAAACAUACUGGUGUUCGAAAAUGGCUGUGCAAUGCAUGUGGCAAAGCAUUCUUGCGAGCUGAACAUCUGAAAGGUCAUUUAGUAACUCACAGUGGAACAAAACCAUUCCAGUGUCCAGUAGAUGGUUGCAAGACUCGUUUCACUGCUAAAAGUAGUUUGUAUAUACACUUGAAGAAACAUGACCAUUCUGGAAAGAAGAUUACUUACCAUUGUCCUAUGGAAGGCUGUGAGAAGAAAUAUUCUACCAAAGUCAGUCUGCGCAAUCACAUUAUGAAACAUUACAACAACAGCACCAUUUCUGCUUCUGACAGUCCUCACUUUGAUUUAGUGCCCCUCCUUGGCUCAGAUGAUAUUUCCGAUGCUGGUCUUGAGUCUCUUGGGCAGCAUUCUCAGUCCGAGAAUCAAACAACACCUGUAUCAGGAGUAAACCUCACCAAUUCUUUAUCUAAUUCCAUCCUUGGUUCUACUGAUCCAGUAUUAGUUGGUCCUUCAGAUUAUAUGUCAACAGACUCUGAAAAAUUGUUAUCAGUAGCAGUAAAUUCUGCAUCUUUGUUCAGUUCCUCUGAUAAUCUCCCUCCUCAUGGCAUUACAUUACGAGAUCCAGAAACAGGCGUGACGUAUGUCCAAACACAACUACUGCAGGACGAUCCACCAAAUCCAGAGAUGUAUCCCGGAGAUGGUAGUCUUGUCACUGAUCUGGCUUUGCAUGAUGCAAGUUCAAACACAGCAGCUGAUUCAGCUUCUGAACACGGUGCAUCAUCAACAGAAUUUACUGGAACUACCAUCAAUCUACAAGACCUAGAAUGAUGACCAGUGUCCACACAUCUGAUUCGUUAGGUGUAAAUUUUGCUACAAUUCCAUUCCAGAUGUUAACUCAAAGAGACAGUGAGUUGCAAACACAAAAGAAAUACCUCCAACACAAGACUUCUAUUUAUUUCUUGUGUUCUUUCAGUCCUGGCUAUGUUGACUAAAUAUCGUCACAGAUUUUAAUGGUUUUUCCUCUGAAUAAUUAACAAUUCUUUUUUCUUCAGUUGGGUAUGAAGAGAAUUGGGUAUUUACAGUGAUAUAUUUCUUGGGAGGAAAAACGCAAAAAAAAAAACCUGUUUAGCAACUGAAAACUUCAUUGCUAUUCUUGUGGUUUUGUUAAAGCUGUUGAACUAAAGACUGGCAUGUCAGGACUCUGGCACUGUAAUCUUUAUACAGAAAGCUGCAAAAUAUAUUUUUAUAAUGGAAACUGUAUGAACGUUUGGGUGGGAAUUUUCCACCUCCUGUUUGCCUGCUUGAUGUGACACAACGUAAAAGUCAUUUAGAUAAAUGCCUAUCGCUGCGUGUUUGAGUAGCAUUUGUCAUAGUUGGUACAGCACUGGCCAAACUGCCAAAGGAUCAAUGAUUAGUAUCCAAUCACUGGUGCUGUACUAUUUCUGUGGCAAAGACACUUGACUCUCAAAGGCCCAGUUCAACUUGCUUUAAAUAGUUUCCAUGGGAAGGUAGCUCUCACUCUAUUAAGCCGUGGAGUCGGGAGCACUGUAUAAUCAACGGGUGUUUUACUUAUAUAAGGCAAGGUUUACUAUAAUCUGUUUGCCUAUCUCAGGAGACAGAGAGAAAAGACAACUAUCUCUGAACUGUUUAACACCUUAAAAACAGGGAUAAGCACCAACGCAUCACAAUACCUGAUAAGCAAUAGUAUAUGAUAUUGUGGGAUCUGCCAAUGUUUUAGCCAUGAGAUAGAGCUAGUGUUCUUUUGCUACAUUCAACUAUAAGUUCUAAUGGCCAUAUCACUCUGGUUUCUGCAUUGUAUCAUGUGGCAAGACUCACAUAUUCAUGUUCUGUAUUGCAUCAUAGGGUCAGAUACAUGCAUCCGUAUUACCAUGUGUAUUGUGACUUGUGGCCAAUGUCUAUAUUCUGUGAAUUGUGUCAUGUAGCAAGAUACAAACUUCACUUAAUUGAAAAAUUAAUUUGGCAAACUGGUCAAUCAUGUUGAGUGAAAUUACUUCAUCUUCCUAAGACUUUAUACCUUGCCUACAAGCGACAGUGUUUGGAUAAAUAUUCCGCACAGCUUACACUUUGAUUCUAGAAUUCUCUCCCGGUGUUGGCAUUGCAUUGACGAGAUGCCUAAUUUAAGAAAUGACUAUAUUUUUAUUUGUUCCUCUUCAUUCUGUGUUCAUUUAUUUUAACAUUAUUUCUGGGGUUUCUUUUUUUUUCCCACUGUAUUUUGUUCCCUACAUGCCUCUCUACUUGUUUUCCAUAAACCAUGCUCCAAAACAUAUUUCCAUGUGUCUCCUCUGAUCUUGGACAGUUUACUUUUUGUGGACCUCAGUUCAUCUUACUGCAAGGAGAUAUCUACCAGGUCUUGUGAGAGUGUUUGUCUAAAAUGGACUGGUUUCCUAUCCAGCUGAAGGUUUUAUUUGUCAUCCUGGUUAACACCAUUGAACCAGAGCUAUGCCCCAGCAUAAUAUGCUCUCUGUGAGACAUGUACACAUUCAUUGUAUUGACGUCACCCAUUGUUUCUUGCAGUUUUCUCCUGUACCCCUUGCUAAAUUAUUUAUUUUGAUGGUGUCUUUUUAUCAUUAUUAUUAUUAUUAUAUAUUUUGUACUGCCUGAUCUUAUCUUAAAGAGUGUGUUGACUUCAGCAGUACAGCUAUUGUAUUAAUGCUUAUUGUUUUGGUUUUGAUGUUUUUGUUUUGUACUGGUAGACCUGUGAAGAGACUCUCUCUGUAAAUUUUCCCAUCAUUUCAGAGUCCAGUUGUUAUUGUUGUUGUUUAAACCCAGGCCAGUCCUGAUCCAGUAGACUUAUGAUGAAAGGCCCUUACAGUUGUGACCAGCCUGUUAUUUAUUCAGAUAUGUCUGAGAUUACAUUAUCCAAUGUAACCUUUUUUUUUCUUCAAGAUUGUGGGAUGUGAUUUGAGAAGGGAUUUCAGCUGCUAUUACUAGCACAUUAAGCAACCCUAAAGAGGCUCUGUCAUUGGUAGCACAUGAUUGAGACUGAUAAUGCAAUGAAAACUUUUGUAUAGAUUAAAGUUGGUUGGAUUCACAUCAAAGAAAGGGGUAUUAAAUAUUUAUCCUUGUUGGUUAUUUAGUGGAAUUGGUAGAGCAGCUAUGUCCCGUAAAAAUUAGCAUUCACAUCUGGUCAAACUCAACUUUUACUAUUUGUCUUCUUGGAUAAUGUUAGUCAAUAAAAACAAGUAGCAUUCAAGUACCUGUAUUGAUACAAUCAACUGUACUUCCGCUCUCUACACCCUGUAUUAAGAAAGCUAUGCCAUGGCAGGAUCUGUAAAGUACACGACAAAACAUCCUGUAAUAUUUUAAUUAUGUCCCUUUAUGUUUUUCAUUCCGUACUCACAGAGGCUGGCUUUUCCUUUCAUCUUUCUUGGUGGGUUGAGUAAAAAUAAGUAUACCAAUCAACUAUACUUCCUUCCACAAAAGUUGUGGCCUUGUGCCUGUUACAAACUGUCGUUGUUAUCAUUACUAGUUUUAGUUACGUCCCUUUGCAUUCCGAUUGUCAAGCCUUGCUUAUGUUUUUUGACUUUCAUCCUUCUGCAGUGAUAAAAUAAGUACCAAAAGACUGCUGGAGUUAGUGCCAUCAACUAAGCUCUUCCCACAAAAUUUGUGGCCUAGUGCCUAUAUCAGAAAUUAUUUCCUCCCUCUUUUUCACUUUUUCUUUAUCUAACAUGGAUUUCUCUCACCCUUUUCUUGCCAAGACAUCUCUUUAACUGCAGCCACAUUGCAUACAAUAUUUUCUCUACCAUUCCUUUACACUGACUAUUGGUCCAGUGUAAAAGCUAGCUUGGAAUAAUCUCAGUAAUAUUGUCACCAAUAUAUAUAUAUAAACCUUGCCAAAUCAGAUUGGAGCCUGGUGCAGCCUUCUGGCUUGCCAGUCCUCAGUCAAACCAUCCAACCCAUGCCAGACGUGAUGGUACUAUCUAAUAUUCUCAUUAAAAUAGAAUACCAAUUAAAUACUGAUUGCAGGCCUUGUAUGUAAAUAGUGAGCUAGCAGAAUCAUUAAAGUGAUACUCUUUUACUUGUUUCAGUCAUUUGACUGCAGCCAUGCUGGAGCACCGCCUUUAAUCGAGCAACUCGACCCCAGGACUUAUUCUUUUGU